Molecule: ribosomal RNA, 253 nt
Filed under: uncultured bacterium
Lineage: Bacteria
Description: partial 16S ribosomal RNA
Rfam family: Bacterial small subunit ribosomal RNA
Source: RNAcentral
UACGUAGGGUGCGAGCGUUAAUCGGAAUUACUGGGCGUAAAGCGUGCGCAGGCGGUUUUGUAAGCCAGAUGUGAAAUCCCCGGGCUUAACCUGGGAAUGGCAUUUGGGACUGCAAGGCUUGAGUGCGGCAGAGGAGACUGGAAUUCCUGGUGUAGCAGUGAAAUGCGUAGAUAUCUGGAAGAACACCCGUGGCGAAGGCGGCACUCUGGGACGGUACUGACGCUGUGGCGCGAAAGCUAGGGGAGCAAACGGG